AACAUGACUUUGAUCUGCGUCCUCAUCUGGACUCUCCUCUGCUGCUGCUUCACAGAGUCCAGAGGACAGAUCACAGUGACUCAGCCUGGAGCAGUGAGCUCUGCUGUGGGAGGAACUGUGAACAUCGAGUGUAAAGUCAGUGAGGAUGUUUAUGGCUUGUUAGCCUGGUACCAACAGAAAGAUGGAGAUCCCCCUAAACUGCUCAUUUAUGCUGCUGACACUCUAGAAUCAGGGAUUCCAGAUCGUUUUGCGGGCAGUGGAUCAGACUCUGAUUUCAUUUUGACCAUCAGUGGAGUCCAGGCUGAAGAUGCAGCAGUUUAUUACUGUCAGAGUUAUCAUGUUAUCAACAGUCAGCUUGUGUUGACACAGUGAAAAACAGUCGUACAA
This is a non-coding RNA of Oreochromis aureus, 387 nucleotides long. The record is from the annotation of a RefSeq genome assembly. NCBI's taxonomy places the organism in Eukaryota, Metazoa, Chordata, Actinopteri, Cichliformes, Cichlidae.